AAACUGGGAUUAGAUACCCCACUAUGCCCAGCCGUAAACUUUUAUUUACACCCAAAUCGCCCGGGAACUACGAGCUAAGCUUAAAACCCAAAGGACUUGACGGUACCCCAUAUCCCCCUAGAGGAGCCUGUCCUAUAAUCGAUAAUCCACGUUUAACCUCACCACUUCUAGUUAAUCAGCCUGUAUACCUCCGUCGUCAGCUUACCACGUGAGCGUAAAUUAGUGAGCCCAAUGUUGUUUCACCAACACGUCAGGUCAAGGUGCAGCAAAUGAAGUGGGAAGAGAUGGGCUACACUUUCUAUUUUAGAAGAAACGAAAAACUACUUAUGAAACCUAGUUAGAAGGCGGAUUUAGCAGUAAAAAGAAAUCAGCAUGUUCAUUUUAACCCGGCACUGGGGUGUGUACACACCGCCCGUCACCCUCUGCAGUCAA
Molecule: ribosomal RNA, 432 nt
Filed under: Bufotes viridis (European green toad)
Lineage: Eukaryota; Metazoa; Chordata; Amphibia; Anura; Bufonidae
Description: partial 12S ribosomal RNA
Rfam family: Bacterial small subunit ribosomal RNA
Source: RNAcentral